GGCGGGUCGGGCCGGGCCCUUUUCAUUUACGGGGCGGGCCGAGUCUAGAUGCUUAGAAAAACGGGUACCCGGACCGGCCCGUUUCUAAUUAUAAUGAACGGCAGAGAUUGAAUGAUAACCUAUCAUCCAAUCUCAACCGUUGGUUUCUGCCCUAGUUUCUACCAAGUCCAACUUUCCAGAAUUCACUUUGUCUCAGCCGCUCUAUCUCCCACAAUCUCUCUCUCUCCCCGAACUUUCUUCUUCUUCUGCUUCUUUUUCUUCUUUAAGUUCUUAAUCCCAGCUGGGUUUUGCUAAUUUUCUCUGCAUUUUCGCUCUGAGGACUGGACAUGUGAAAGCGUCAUCUUCUCAACACCGAGGAGGUAGUCCGAGAGCAGAUUCGCACCUUCUCUUCUCUUCUAAGUGCAUUGUACUGUUGACUUCUUACCAUAUAUGCUGUGUUUUCCAGUGGCAUGCUGUGGCGUUUUUCAGGAUGUCCAAUAUGUGCAAACAGAGCACGGUACAGUUUGCUUAUUCCAUUGGUUCCUGCACAAUGAGGUAGUCCGAGACGGAGCAGGUGCCACCAGAGUCGGAAAGCAUGGAGGUGUUGCUUGUGAGGAUGUUAGCCAUGGUGAGAAACGUGGCGGUGCCGGCGCGGGGCUCGGUUGAGAAGCUGUGGUGCGACGACGAAGGCAGCAUGGCGGUGGUUCUGGAGUCCUUUCCGUAGCGAUUUCGCAAAAAAAAAAAAAAAAAAAAAAAAAAAAACCAAGGACCGGCCCGUUUCAAACGGGCCAGGUUCGGUCCGAUUCCUGUAAUGAAAUAUGAUGUACCCGACUCGGCCCGGCCCGUUUCUUUUAACCUCCGGUUCCUUGAAAAUUAGGUCCGGCUCGGCCCGGCCCGUGCCCAGCCCUAGCGCAAAGCAUAAAAGUUUAUAAGGCCUAAAAGUCUGUUGGUGCAAGGUCUUAGCCAUGGUGGCGUCAUAUGGAUUGAAGAAGAAAGUUGGGAUGUAGAAAUUUGAGGGAAUUUAAUGAAAUUGGGUGAAAUAAAUUUUUCUU
Molecule: non-coding RNA, 1031 nt
Organism: Malus domestica (apple)
Lineage: Eukaryota; Viridiplantae; Streptophyta; Magnoliopsida; Rosales; Rosaceae
Source: RefSeq, a predicted model, not a curated record